Molecule: ribosomal RNA, 370 nt
Filed under: uncultured Glomeromycotina
Lineage: Eukaryota; Fungi; Glomeromycota
Description: LSU rRNA
Source: RNAcentral
UUGAAAGGGAAACGAUUGAAGUCAGUCGUACCGACGGAGGAUCAACCUUUGAAAGCGGGUCGAGGUAUUCGAGGAGUUUAAAAGCCCUCUUGCGCUCACGUACUUCGUUUUCUUUGGUGCGCUUCUUCGUAUGGUAGGUUAACAUCAAUUUUGGACGUUACAAAAUGAUCGGGGGAAUGUAGCUUCGAUUUUUUCGAAGUGUUAUAGACCUUGGUAGAUGUGACGACCGGGAUUGAGGAUUGCAACGAAUGCUUUCGGGCUAUCCGUCUGACCUCUGGUGGUUGCUUUAGGGUCGAAAGCGUGCUUACGACUUUAAAGUUGGCUAUCAAAAGGCUAGAACGUGAUUAAAUUCGUUAAGGAUGUUGACGUA